GCCAGCAUGGUGUAGUGGUUUGAGUGUUGGACUACAAAUUUGGAGGCCAGGUUCGAUUCCUCUUGGCC
This 68-nucleotide transfer RNA is filed under the name Phrynosoma platyrhinos (Desert horned lizard). RNAcentral describes it as "tRNA-OTHER". Lineage: Eukaryota; Metazoa; Chordata; Lepidosauria; Squamata; Phrynosomatidae. The record is from RNAcentral.